Molecule: long non-coding RNA, 2640 nt
Organism: Oncorhynchus tshawytscha (Chinook salmon)
Lineage: Eukaryota; Metazoa; Chordata; Actinopteri; Salmoniformes; Salmonidae
Source: Ensembl
UAGAAUCAAGAUAUAAUUUAUUGCAACAGUUGCUAAGGAAUCCAUCAUCUCCUAGAAACCAUUUUGAUUAUAAGGGAAUUUCAAACAAUUAAAACAUCACAAUAUUCUGAUGUCAUCACAGUCCACCGAAUACAUUCUGAUGUCAUCACAACCCACCAUACACAUUCUGAUGACAUCACAACCCACCAUACACAUUCUGAUGACAUCACAACCCACCAUACACAUUCUGAUGACAUCACAACCCACCAUACACAUUCUGAUGACAUCACAACCCACCAUACACAUUCUGAUGACAUCAGUCCACCAGAUACAUUCUCCAGAUUGUGUCUUGUUCACAUUGACAGUUAAAGAUGUAAAAGGUAGCAGAGCUGUAACAGAGCUGUAAUGUUGUGAUGUCUAUUGGUGCGUUAGUAAAUUCACUCUGACUAUCUAAUCCUAUUCCAGAGCACUCAUCGUCUGAGUGUACCAGAGUCCAAAAUAACUGAUUAAUUUACGAGCACCCAUUGAAUAUGAUCAGUGUCAGUAAACGUUGGCAAAGAAAUAUAAAUAUAUUGUUGUCAGCAGCACAAUUACAGUCACCAAUGCUCUGGAUAACAUGAAAACAUCCUAUCCAGCUCUGCUAUGGUAAAUGGUCAGAGUGAGGUGUUGUUUCAUUUGUGUCUGGAAGUAGCUAGCAAGCUAGUCAACUUUAGCCAGUUAUCUUGGGUGCUUGACAGCCGUUGUUAGGUCAGAACGCUGAGCUGAUUAACCGCCAGUGUCCAGUGUGAGCUCUGAUUAACCGCCAGUGUCCAGUGUGAGCUCUGAUUAGUCCAAGAGUGAAACGCUCUGAAUUUACUAAUUCUGCACUCUUGCACUCCAGAGUGAAUUUACAAACAAACCCUAUAACUAGUCUGGUUGUAGUCUUUUCUAUAUGAGGUAACACAGAGACCUAUAGCUACCAGGGCUGGAUGUAUUAUUGUUAAAUUUAGUUCACUUCAAUUCAGUCUAUCCCUAACCCUAACUUCACUGCAUGGGAAAUUAAACCAGUUAUGCGUUUGUUGAAGUAGAUGGCCUAUUGCAGGUCAUUCGCCUGGUGGAGUUGUCUGUAGCUGACAGGGUUAGGUGUAGUCUGGUAUAGCUGUCUGUAGCUGAUAGGGUUAGGUGUAGUCUGGUAUAGCUGUCUGUAGCUGAUAGGGUUAGGUGUAGUCUGAUAUAGUUGUCUGUAGCUGAUAGGGUCAAGUAUAGUCUGGUGGUAGUUGUCUGUAGCUGAUAGGGUUAGGUGUAGUCUGGUAUAGUUGUCUGUAGCUGAUAGGGUUAGGUGUAGUCUGGUAUAGCUGUCUGUAGCUGAUAGGGUUAGGUGUAGUCUGGUAUAGUUGUCGUCUAUCAGUUGAUGAUUUACGUUGGGUCUGGUAUUUGUAGUUCAUCAGUAGAAGCUGCAGGGUGGGUGUGGUAGUUGUAGUCCAUCAGUAGAAGAUGCUGGGUGGGUGUGGUAGUUGUAGUCCAUCAGAAGAAGAUGCAGGGUGGGUGUGGUAGUUGUAGUCCAUCAGUAGAAGAUGCAGGGUGGGUGUGGGUCUGAUGAGAAACCUGUAGUACUCCUUGAGUAUCCCCAACAGUACACAUUUUAUUGUAUCCCUGGACAAGCACACCUGAUUCAGUACUGGAGGAGAAGUUGGGAAACACCGCUGUAGGACACAGAAACAUAAAGACUUAGCUAGGUUAUCUUUUUCAUAUUUUAAUGUCACCCUUAUUUAACCAUACAGUGUUCACAAAGUUACGCAUUAAAAACAACACAUUUCCAGGGCCAAACAGAAAACCUUUCUACUCAUAACCCAAAUAAGUACUCAUAACCCAAAUGAGUAUUCAUAACCAAAACGUAUGCCGCCAAACAUACCCUCAUAAAACUAACUAUCCUACCGAUCCUCAACUUUAGCAAUGUCAUCUACAAAAUAGCCUCCAACACUCUAUUCAGCAAACUGGAUGCAGUCUAUCACUGUGCCAUCCAUUUUGAUACCAAAGCCCCAUAUACUACCCACCAUUGUGACCUGUACGCUUACUGAAGCUGGAGACUUAUAUUUCCCUCACUAACUUUAAACAUCAGCUAUCUGAGCAGCUAACCGAUCACUGCAGCUGUACAUAGUCCAUCUGUAAAUAGCCCAGCCAAUUUACCUACCUCAUCCCCAUAUUGUUUUAUUUACUUUUCGGCUAUUUUGCACACCAGUAUUUCUACUUGCACAUCAUCAUCUGCUCAUCUAUCACUCCAGUGUUAAUUUGCUUAAUUGUAAUGAUUUCGCUACUAUGGCCUAUUUAUUGCCUUACCUCCUCACGUCACUUGCACACACUGUAUAUAGACUUUCUUUUUUUUCCUAUUGUGUUAUUGACUAUAUGCUUGUUUAUUCCAUGUGUAACUCUGUUAUUGUUUGUGUCGCACUGCUUUGCUUUAUCUUGGCCAGGUCGCAGUUGUAAAUGAGAACUUGUUCUCAACUAGCCUACCUGGUUAAAUAAAGGUGAAAUAUAUAUAUUUUUUUAAGUACUCAUAACCCCUGAUAAGUCUUCAAACCAAAUAAGUACAAAUAACCCAAAUAAGUAUCAAACCCAAAUAAGAAGUCAUAAUCCCAAAUAAAUACUCAUAUACUCUAAUAAAUACUCAUAACCCAAAUAAAU